This 428-nucleotide ribosomal RNA is filed under the name Gemmatimonadota bacterium. RNAcentral's name for it is "Gemmatimonadetes bacterium partial 16S ribosomal RNA". It matches the Rfam family "Bacterial small subunit ribosomal RNA", at positions 355 to 776 of the family's 1533-position model. The record is from RNAcentral. Lineage: Bacteria; Pseudomonadati; Gemmatimonadota.
UAGGGAAUCUUCGGCAAUGGACGAAAGUCUGACCGAGCAACGCCGCGUGAGUGAAGAAGGUUUUCGGAUCGUAAAACUCUGUUGUUAGAGAAGAACAAGGACGUUAGUAACUGAACGUCCCCUGACGGUAUCUAACCAGAAAGCCACGGCUAACUACGUGCCAGCAGCCGCGGUAAUACGUAGGUGGCAAGCGUUGUCCGGAUUUAUUGGGCGUAAAGCGAGCGCAGGCGGUUUCUUAAGUCUGAUGUGAAGCCCCCGGCUCAACCGGGGAGGGUCAUUGGAAACUGGGAGACUUGAGUGCAGAAGAGGAGAGUGGAAUUCCAUGUGUAGCGGUGAAAUGCGUAGAUAUAUGGAGGAACACCAGUGGCGAAGGCGGCUCUCUGGUCUGUAACUGACGCUGAGGCUCGAAAGCGUGGGGAGCAAACAGG